RNAcentral lists this long non-coding RNA (953 nucleotides) under Homo sapiens (human). RNAcentral describes it as "HSALNT0060800". The record is from RNAcentral. Lineage: Eukaryota; Metazoa; Chordata; Mammalia; Primates; Hominidae.
AGGAACCAGAGCCAUUCAGGAACAGCUGAUGAGACUAGGAAUGAGGAAGUCGCAAAGGUUCCUCUGGGUUUCCAUUUCAAGGGGCACAAAUUGACCUUUGCCUCCUCGGCCACUUAGGCUUGCUGCUUGCUCCUUGUCCCUUCCCCCAGGGAGGGAGGAGAAGCAGUUUCACUUUUCUUGCCAGUUAUUUUCACUUUCAGACUCCCUGAGAAAGGUGAGGCAGGACUGGUGUGAUGUGUGCCCGAGUCUCAGGCACUAUCGUGAGGGUGCAGGGCCAAGGCAGGUGAUCCUGCAUGGAGACAUUCUAGGUUCAGGGACUGCCUGUGGAUCCAUGCCAAUUGCUGUGAUCAGCCAGCCCAUCCAGGAGAGAAGCUGUGACUUCCCCAAGCACACCAAGCUGUAACUCUCUGGGUCCUGUCAUUUGGGCUGAUGAGAAAGCAGCUUCCGAGGAGAGACAUGAUUCAUCCAAAGAGACGAUUCAUGUGAGAGCCAGCUUUCAGGCCAAGUAUUGAUGGGAGACAUCUGGCUGAUUGGCCAACAGCAGGUAGAGAAGGCAAGCCCAGUGAAGACAGCAUGAGGAGAGCAUCCACCUUUUGACAUUGCACACAAGCAAGGAUGACACCAUGACCAUCUUUGAAAGGGCAGAGCUGGACUUUUGCAUAACAUUAUUCAGGUUAAUGACACCUUGGUACACAUCAGUCAAUUAAAUAAUAAAUAAAAUGUAUUGACUCUUAGUCUUCAAUAACACCUCUGAGACUUGUUAAUAAUACUUGUGGAUUGAAGAUAUAUAAACAAAAUCAAUAUUUAUUGAAAAAAUGUUCAACGUUUGAGAACUUAGAUUAACCUUGUUAAUUGAUCCUAUAAAGUGUCAAAUUUUUGACUGAUUUGUUUACUUACAUGCUUGUGAAAUUCUUUGGGAUGGAUAUUGCUUCCUAAUACAAUGUUUGUAGCAC